RNAcentral lists this ribosomal RNA (550 nucleotides) under uncultured bacterium. RNAcentral describes it as "bacterial SSU rRNA". It matches the Rfam family "Bacterial small subunit ribosomal RNA", at positions 355 to 896 of the family's 1533-position model. The record is from RNAcentral.
UAGGGAAUCUUCCGCAAUGGACGCAAGUCUGACGGAGCAACGCCGCGUGAGUGAAGAAGGUUUUCGGAUCGUAAAACUCUGUUGUUAGAGAAGAACAAGUGCUAGAGUAACUGUUAGCGCCUUGACGGUAUCUAACCAGAAAGCCACGGCUAACUACGUGCCAGCAGCCGCGGUAAUACGUAGGUGGCAAGCGUUGUCCGGAUUUAUUGGGCGUAAAGCGAGCGCAGGCGGUUCCUUAAGUCUGAUGUGAAAGCCCCCGGCUCAACCGGGGAGGGUCAUUGGAAACUGGGGAACUUGAGUGCAGAAGAGGAGAGUGGAAUUCCAUGUGUAGCGGUGAAAUGCGUAGAUAUAUGGAGGAACACCAGUGGUGAAGGCGACUCUCUGGUCUGUAACUGACGCUGAGGCUCGAAAGCGUGGGUAGCAAACAGGAUUAGAUACCCUGGUAGUCCACGCCGUAAACGAUGAGUGCUAAGUGUUGGAGGGUUUCCGCCCUUCAGUGCUGCAGUUAACGCAUUAAGCACUCCGCCUGGGGAGUACGACCGCAAGGUUG